This 245-nucleotide long non-coding RNA is filed under the name Homo sapiens (human). RNAcentral's name for it is "non-protein coding lnc-BICDL1-1:4". Lineage: Eukaryota; Metazoa; Chordata; Mammalia; Primates; Hominidae. The record is from RNAcentral.
ACGCGCCCUGACGGAGUCCCAGCAAGCGCGGGCCCGUCUUCCUCGCGUCUCCUCGGGGAGCGUCGUCGCCGCCACCCUGGGCGCUGAGAGCUUGCGGAGCCGAGCCGCUGUCGAGUCCCAGCGGAAAGAAGCCCAAGGUGCCGGAGAAGCCCGGUCGUGGACGUUGUUGCUCCCUCAUCUUCGAGACCCGCACGCCCUGCGGAGAGGAAAUGACAGGCACGCCGCGACCGUGGGGCGGGGCUCGC